CAAUUAAUCAUAUUUCAAACCAUUAAAAUACUAAGAAACAUUAUAAUGCUUUCUCCUAGUAACAAUACUCCUUCAUCAACUGAUAACAACAAUGUGCAACCCUAUACUCUCAAAAGACCGCUCAAAAUAUAAUAAUUUCUAUCCAAUAUCAAGAAUAAUAGACUUUUUUCCAAUCAAUCUGAAUUCACAUAAUUUCUGUAAUCAUAGACUUCUUCUAUCCAAAACACACACAACUCUCAAUAAACAACAAUCAUAAUCUUCCAAUAACUCUUCAUAUAAUUCAAUCACUCAGUGUUCUAAUUACAUAACCAAUAAUUCAUAAAUAAAUCUCUGAUUUAUUCCACAGACUUACUUCUCAGUAUUUAGAAACUAUCCAUUAUUCUUCAAUAAUAAAGAAAAUAAAGAAACAAAGAAGUAGCACCAAGCUUACCCCAGCUCAUGACUAUCACAAUCUGGCACCCCAACAAACUUCUACAACUCCUAUAUAAUUGCUCCUGAUUUCUAGAUUUUAACCAUAAUCUUAUAAUUAACCGCUUUUAAUAACUAAAUCAAUCAUCCGUCCUCCUGAACUGACUAUUUUAUGGACUAUUAGUCUAUUUUACCAAUAUCUUACAGAAAUGAACUAUUAUCUAUUCUACAUAGCCCCACUCCUAACUAUGCAGCGUCUUCGCAAAUACACAAUUGAUUCCUAUCUAAAAACUACUUAACAAAACUCUAUAAAGUUACUAUUUCCUGUGGCCCACCCAAUUAAUCAUUUGCUGUAUUAUCGAAUGUAGAUUCUACCGAAUCUGAUUCCAAAUGCAAAUCUUCUUCCUCCUCAAGUCUUUCCAUUGACUCCUUUUUCAACUAGUUUGAUAGAUCUUCAUUAUACUCUCUCAAUUCACGGCUUGAACCUCCAGUUUCAAGAUUUCAGCAUGAUAGAGUUCCAAUUGAUACUGCUGUUGACUCAUCUAUUCUAGAACAUCUUCAAUUAACACUUGUGACCAACUCCUCACUAUUAACUCUUAACUGGAACUACUACUCUCGAAUACACAAGAAACACAAGAAAAUGGCUC
Molecule: long non-coding RNA, 1055 nt
Filed under: Physcomitrium patens
Lineage: Eukaryota; Viridiplantae; Streptophyta; Bryopsida; Funariales; Funariaceae
Description: long non-coding RNA (PPAT_LNC003111)
Source: RNAcentral